AUGCCGCCGGCGAUCGCUUUGGCGUCGGCGUCGGCGUCGAUGCGCGGCGGCGAAGGCGCGAAGGGUACGGCGCGGCGCCCGGACCGCGUGCUGGCCGCGCGCCGGCGGCGAGCUGCCGUGCUGCUCCUCGCUCUAGCGUACACGGCGGCUAUGCUUGUGCUCCUCCUGGGCGCUGACGGCACGGGCCUGGGCACAGGUGGUGGACGCGUGGUGGUAGGUGCGCCGCGUCCGCGGGCGCGGGCGCCAGCGCCGCCCGGAUCGGUGUACCGCAGCCACCUCGUGUUCGAGCGGCUCCUGCCGGAAAUGCGCGCCCUCGCCUCUCGUCCUAGCCCGUUAAUGGCAUCCCAUUAUAAAAAGUCUGGAAAGAGAUGGGUACCUUGCAUCAGAAAGAGAUUGACACAAUCAGCGUUACCACCUUCAAAUGGUUUUCUCGUAAUUGAAGCAAAUGGUGGUCUGAAUCAGCAACGCAUUUCUAUUUGUGAUGCUGUUGCUGUGGCAAGCUUACUUAAUGCAACUCUUGUCAGCCCAGCUUUUCAUCUGAAUAGUGUUUGGCGUGAUUCUAGCAAAUUUGGUGAUAUAUUUGAUGAAGACCAUUUUAUUGAGACACUCCGAAAACAUGUAAGGGUUGUCAAAGAACUUCCUGAAAAUGUUUCUGCGCAGUUUGACCAUAAUAUCAGCAGUAUACCGAAUAUGAGAACCAAAGCCUUCUCGUCUCACAGUUACUACCUAGAAAAGGUGCUUCCGAAACUGUUGGAGCUAGGGGCUGUGCGUAUUGCUCCUUUCUCAAAUAGAUUGGCUAAUUCAGUUCCAUCAAAUAUCAAUGCGUUGAGAUGUUUGGCAAACUAUGAGGCAUUGAGAUUUUCUGAACCCAUAAGAAUUCUUGCAGAUAACAUGGUUGACCGAAUGAUCAAGAAGAGUGCUUUGACUAGUGGGAAGUACAUGUCAGUUCAUCUUCGCUUUGAAGAGGAUAUGGUAGCUUUCUCAUGCUGUAUAUAUGACGGUGACUGGAAGGAGAAUAUUGCAAUGGAGAAUGCUCGCGAAAGGGGCUGGAGAGGGAAGUUUCGCCGACCAGGUCGAGUGAUAAAUCCCGAGGCCAAUCGGAGGAAUGGGAGAUGUCCUUUAGCUCCUAUAGAGGUUGGAAUGAUGCUGCAUGGCAUGGGGUUUGAUAAUACUACCUCACUCUAUGUUGCCUCUGGUAAAAUAUACAAUGCUGAGAAGUAUAUGACUCCUCUUCGCGAGUUGUUUCCACUUCUACAAACAAAGGAAACGCUCACUUCACCUGAGGAGCUUGCACAGUUCAAGGGGCAUUCAUCCAGACUGGCCGCAUUGGACUACACAGUCUGUCUAUGGAGCGAAGCCUUUGUAACGACUCAAGGAAGCAAUUUCCCUCAUUUCCUGAUCGGACACAUGCGUUAUUUGUAUGGGGGGCAUGCAAAGACAAUAACACCAGAUAAACGGAAAAUGGUGCUACUCUUUGACAACCCGGAUAUCAGAUGGGAUCGGUUCAGGCACCUCAUGCAGGAUAUUCGUCGCCAAAGUGAAUCGAAAGGUUUCGGGUUCAGGAAACAGCAUGGAUCGAUAUACAACCUCCCGAUGCCCGACUGCAUGUGUCAGCAAGCUGAAGCAUGA
Molecule: ribosomal RNA, 1629 nt
Filed under: Triticum aestivum (bread wheat)
Lineage: Eukaryota; Viridiplantae; Streptophyta; Magnoliopsida; Poales; Poaceae
Description: partial small subunit ribosomal RNA
Source: RNAcentral